This 118-nucleotide non-coding RNA is filed under the name Chromera velia. Lineage: Eukaryota; Chromeraceae. The record is from RNAcentral.
GACUUUAGAUUUGCUUGCGUUUUUUUCCCUUUGAUUUUUUCCUUUCAAUUUUUCACAUUUUUGGAUCAUCAGACAGACAGAGAGAGAGACUUGGAAGAGAAAUGUGGAUAGACAGAAU